GGGGGGGGGGGGGAAUCCCCGCUCCCCGCCCCUUACCUUUCACAACCAAGCCAUUCCUUAACGUACGGUGCAUGAGAAACAUUACCAACUGAGCAUCGUAUGACAGGCAAACAUUUCUGAAUAAACGCAGUACCCGAAAGGGACCGGGAUGCCAGAAGGAAUCUACAAGAAGUGCAGCAACAACAUGAAAAACAUGUCACCAGGAUCCAAGAGGGUUUAUCGGGGUCAAAACUUUUCUGCUUUUUCUGUUCUGCUUGGCUUCUAACAAAGAACGUUAUCGGUUCUAAAUAAUUUGUUCUUCCAGUUGCAAAAAUCUAAAGUAAGGAGAUUAUUCUUCAUUAGAAUUCACUUUUUCAAUUAAUUUCUACCCAGUUUUAUUAGAUUGCUCCAGUUAUCUUUGCAACUCAUUACUGUAGGCUGUUUCCAAACAGUGAUGUCUCUGAUAUGCACGAAGAAGUUCAAAAAUAGCAAUACUCUUUUGAAGACGCAACCAGAGAGAGACCAUCAGCUCACCUUGCUGCAAUCAGGAUCGAAAUGAAAAACAAAACCUUCGACUCUCUCUGCCCAUCAAGCUGCAAAUCAGCAACAUCUUAAGCUUUAAAGCAACAGCACAGCUUGUCAAUAUGAAUGGGAAACGCAUUAGGUCAGCGAUACCCAGGAACAGUGCUUCUGUGCAGAAGAUCUGCACGAGCAAAGGAAACCCGUGGUGAAGGAAAGCAGGUCCCUUCCGCUGUUUCCCUCCUCGAGCGCUUGGCCGUUCCUGCUGGCAGCGUAGACGGCCCAGGACUGUAUGCUGCGUGGGGUUUGGUUUGGCCCGUUUCCCGUAGAUUUUGCCCUAAAGAUGUCUUCGGCUCUGUUGAUGCGAAUCGCAGACGUGCCCGAAGGCAGCUCUUCCCGCCAGCCCUGGGAGCCCAGUACUCAAACACGUGAGCGUUCAACCCGCCGUGAAGCACCUGGGUCGUUUCGCAGCGCAGGGCCUGUCACGUGCAUCGUUCCUGGCACCAGGAAUACAGAGCAGCCACCGGUGAAAGCAACUGUAGGUUUUUCCCCCCCCGCAAAAUUACCGUGUGGCGGUUGUCAGAGCACCGUGCGCGCGUCCUCAGGUGCGGCAUCCCCUUCUCCGAAGCCUUCCCCAAGGCCCUGCGCGGGACCCAGGCUGCUGCUCACUCCUGCGCUUGGAGAAAGCGGCAGGCACACAAAAUGACUUUUUGCCUCCUUUUCAAUUUAAUAGCCUCUUGGUGCUACUCCAGUAAUUACACCAGUAUGUGUCUUUGUAAGCUUUUUUUAUUAUCCCCGGUAUUCCCCAUGGCAAACAACCAAGGAAAACGUCAAUUUUCUAAAAUCGCCCUGGCUUAAGCUGGCCUCUGGUGAUGUAACGUGGCCAUCCCUAAAGUGUAUAGUGUAUAACUAUAAUCAAAAUGGGAUUAUUUCUUGUUUCCAGAACAAUUUCUUCAGCAGUAGCGAGAAGGAGACUGUAAGAAAGAAACUAUAGCACUGAACUGCUAUUUUUUCUGUGAAUACCGGAAAGCAUUUUUUGAGGGUCUAUUAUAAAAAGUGUACUGGUAAAAUGCUUAUUUAACAACACUCUGUGUCUGCUACCUGGCUGCCGCCAGCAGAGAAAUACAUAUUCUCAGCCUUGAUGUUUCUACCAGUAGUUUGGCAUCAGCGAUGAGAACAGUAUUUUCAUUCCGACAGGUAGUUUUAGCAUUUAUCCACAAAUGAUGGACAAAGUGUUUUUGUGGUGAAAGAAAGGAGGAAGAGCAGUGUUACUGAAGAGUAAUUUUGCCCGGUUUUGAAAAUGUUCUGUGAGGUAAUGCUAUGGGGUUUUUCACUCUUCCCUUAAUAGAUGCUUGAAAUUACAGGAACACGCACUGCUAGAAAAGGUACUAAAGUUACUGCUAAGGAUUAACACCUAUCAAAGGGCUCCAGCUGUUUGAUUUCUUUGACAAAAAAUCUCAUUUCUCUCUUCUGGAGUAAACUUUUUUUUUUUUUUUAAAUGAGCAGAUAUCAAGCCGAUUAAAGCUGAUACAUAUGGACUGAACUUUGAAGCCCUAAGAGUUUAUCAUGACCAGAAGCAGUCUGCAGUAUUCUGUGGUACUGGUACAUUUUUAGUCAUUUUUGUUUUCCCUUUUAAUAAAUAGAUUGCUUCUGCACCUAUAUAGUGCUCCAAAUAAACCUGAUGAAAUGAA
Long non-coding RNA from Dromaius novaehollandiae (emu), 2189 nucleotides. RefSeq lists it as uncharacterized. The record is from RefSeq and is a predicted model, not a curated record. Lineage: Eukaryota; Metazoa; Chordata; Aves; Casuariiformes; Dromaiidae. The transcript is spliced from 2 exons.